Molecule: small RNA, 89 nt
Filed under: Chryseobacterium formosense
Lineage: Bacteria; Pseudomonadati; Bacteroidota; Flavobacteriia; Flavobacteriales; Weeksellaceae
Description: Flavo-1 RNA
Rfam family: Flavo-1 RNA
Source: RNAcentral
UAUUAGCCCCGAUUGCAACGACAUCCUUUUUCUGAUAUGGCUUGAAAAAAGCGUUGGCGAAAAAGAUAUAGUGGAAAGCGGGAAAUAGC